UUUAUAGGUCUACGAUGGUUUUUACCAGGUUUACCCACCACUUAGUUCACUGUUGUCUCUUACUUUAAAUUUACUAUUUAGUAUUUACUAUUUAAUAUUUUAAUUUGUAUUUGCUUAGGUAUACCGAUACUGCUUUUCACAGUUUCUUUCGUGGUGUUAUUGUGACUAUCAGAUGUCGGAUUUCGUUUCGUUGACCAAAAAGUAGCGUUGACAUGUUGGAACUCGAGUAUCUGAUAUUGGAUAUGUGAUUUUGGCCUGAUGUUUUCGCCAAUACCUAACUAUAUAAACAAUGUAUAACUAAAGACCUAGAACGUGAAAUAGAAAUAAUAAUCGACGCAACCGUUGAAGGUGUCAGCAAAAAAGGAGCAGUUACUGAUGAGAGUAUACUAUAGUUGCAGAAAAGCGAAUACAAUUUGUUGGAUGAAAUGCUGCACAGUUAGGAAAGCUGAAAAAACAAGCAGAAACAUUUACUUUCCAGGCUGAAGUUCAUCAUUGUAA
Molecule: long non-coding RNA, 498 nt
Organism: Acyrthosiphon pisum (pea aphid)
Lineage: Eukaryota; Metazoa; Arthropoda; Insecta; Hemiptera; Aphididae
Exons: 3
Source: RefSeq, a predicted model, not a curated record